Molecule: transfer RNA, 76 nt
Filed under: Cryobacterium sp. TMT1-21
Lineage: Bacteria; Bacillati; Actinomycetota; Actinomycetes; Micrococcales; Microbacteriaceae
Also listed under: 1 other name
Description: tRNA-Val
Rfam family: tRNA
About the family: Transfer RNA (tRNA) molecules are approximately 80 nucleotides in length.
Source: RNAcentral
GGGCCUUUAGCUCAGUUGGUAGAGCGCCACGUUUACACCGUGGAUGUCGUCGGUUCGAGCCCGGUAGGGCCCACCC